Molecule: ribosomal RNA, 292 nt
Filed under: uncultured eukaryote
Lineage: Eukaryota
Description: partial 18S ribosomal RNA
Rfam family: Eukaryotic small subunit ribosomal RNA
Source: RNAcentral
GGUUGAUCCUGCCAGUAAUCAUAUGCUUGUGUCAAAGAUUAAGCCAUGCAAGUCUUAGUACAGGUGGAAAAAACCGAAACUGCGGAUGGCUCAAUAAAUCAGUCUCAAUUAAUUCAGUGAUUAGAAAGAGAAGGAUAACCCUGCUAAUUGUAGAGCUAAUACGAGAAGAAGACGCGGCGCUCUGCGGGGCGCUGCGGCACUUGCCAGCUCGAAAAAGGAUAGUGCGCUUCGCAAGGGGCGCAUGAAACUUGUCCGCCGAAAGGCGCCGCAAAGGAAGCAAAAGGGAAAAAGA